RNAcentral lists this ribosomal RNA (463 nucleotides) under Vreelandella stevensii. RNAcentral's name for it is "partial 16S ribosomal RNA". It matches the Rfam family "Bacterial small subunit ribosomal RNA", at positions 338 to 794 of the family's 1533-position model. Lineage: Bacteria; Pseudomonadati; Pseudomonadota; Gammaproteobacteria; Oceanospirillales; Halomonadaceae. The record is from RNAcentral.
CCUACGGGGCGCUGCAGUGGGGAAUAUUGGACAAUGGGCGAAAGCCUGAUCCAGCCAUGCCGCGUGUGUGAAGAAGGCCUUCGGGUUGUAAAGCACUUUCAGUGGGGAAGAAAGCCUUGGGGCUAAUACCCUCGAGGAAGGACAUCACCCACAGAAGAAGCACCGGCUAACUCCGUGCCAGCAGCCGCGGUAAUACGGAGGGUGCGAGCGUUAAUCGGAAUUACUGGGCGUAAAGCGCGCGUAGGCGGUCUGAUAAGCCGGUUGUGAAAGCCCCGGGCUCAACCUGGGAACGGCAUCCGGAACUGUCAGGCUAGAGUGCAGGAGAGGAAGGUAGAAUUCCCGGUGUAGCGGUGAAAUGCGUAGAGAUCGGGAGGAAUACCAGUGGCGAAGGCGGCCUUCUGGACUGACACUGACGCUGAGGUGCGAAAGCGUGGGUAGCAAACAGGAUUAGAUACCCCAUAUC